CAACAGGCUCUCAUAUCCUUCUAAAAACAUCAAAAGAUACCUAAAGCCAAACAGACUCAGAAAGAAAAGAAAAAGACUGGAAGCUUCCGUGAGCGCAGUUGAAGUCUGCAGCAAGAGUGUUCUCGUUUUGAUGGAUAUGCCUUAUUCCAAGUCAACCUUUGAUCCAUCUUGCUUAAUACUGCCUUCAGUGAUUAACAGCAAGUUUCCAAGAUUUCAAGGCCUUCUCCAGAGCUGCUGGAGGUGUCUAAAUAUUAAUCUUUUGCAUGUAAGGGGCUGCCACAAAGAAGAGGGAGUCAAGCUAUUUUCCAAGGCGCCUGAAGGCAG
Crotalus tigris (Tiger rattlesnake) is the source of this 324-nucleotide long non-coding RNA. RefSeq lists it as uncharacterized. NCBI's taxonomy places the organism in Eukaryota, Metazoa, Chordata, Lepidosauria, Squamata, Viperidae. The transcript is spliced from 3 exons. The record is from RefSeq and is a predicted model, not a curated record.